UUGAAGAGUUUGAUCCUGGCUCAGGACGAACGCUGGCGGCAUGCCUAAUACAUGCAAGUCGCACGAGCUUCCGUUGAAUGACGUGCCUGCACUGAUUUCAACAAUGAAGCGAGUGGCGAACUGGUGAGUAACACGUGGGGACUCUGCCCAGAAGCAGGGGAUAACACUCGGCAACAGGUGCUAAUACCGUAUAACAACAAAAUCCGCAUGGAUUUUGUUUGAAAGGUGGCUUCGGCUAUCACUUCUGGAUGAUCCCGCGGCGUAUUAGUUAGUUGGUGAGGUAAAGGCCCACCAAGACGAUGAUACGUAGCCGACCUGAGAGGGUAAUCGGCCACAUUGGGACUGAGACACGGCCCAAACUCCUACGGGAGGCUAGCAGUAGGGAAUCUUCCCCAAUGGACGAAAGUCUGAUGGAGCAAUGCCGCGUGAGUGAAGAAGGGUUUCGCCUUGUAAAACUCUGUUGUUAAAGAAGAACCCCCUUUGAGAGUAACUGUUCAAGGGUUGACGGUUAUUUAACCAGAAAGCCACGGCUAACUACGUGCCAGCAGCCGCGGUAAUACGUAGGUGGCAAGCGUUGUCCGGAUUUAUUGGGCGUAAAGCGAGCGCAGGCGGUUUUUUAAGUCUGAUGUGAAAGCCUUCGGCUUAACCGGAGAAGUGCAUCGGAAACUAGGGAGACUUGAGUGCAGAAGAGGACAGUGGAACUUCCAUGUGUAGCGGUGGAAUGCGUAGAUAUAUGGAAGAACACCAGUGGCCGAAGGCGGCUGUCUAGUCUGUAACUGACGCUGAGGCUCGAAAGCAUGGGUAGCGAACAGGAUUAGAUACCCUGGUAGUCCAUGCCGUAAACGAUGAGUGCUAAGUGUUGGAGGGUUUCCGCCCUUCAGUGCUGCAGCUAACGCAUUAAGCACUCCGCCUGGGGAGUACGACCGCAAGGUUGAAACUCAAAGGAAUUGACGGGGGCCCGCACAAGCGGUGGAGCAUGUGGUUUAAUUCGAAGCUACGCGAAGAACCUUACCAGGUCUUGACAUCUUCUGCCAAUCUUAGAGAUAAGACGUUCCCUUCGGGGACAGAAUGACAGGUGGUGCAUGGUUGUCGUCAGCUCGUGUCGUGAGAUGCUGGGUUAAGACCCGCAACGAGCGCAACCCUUAUUAUCCAGUCGCCAG
Molecule: ribosomal RNA, 1160 nt
Filed under: Levilactobacillus brevis
Lineage: Bacteria; Bacillati; Bacillota; Bacilli; Lactobacillales; Lactobacillaceae
Description: bacterial SSU rRNA
Rfam family: Bacterial small subunit ribosomal RNA
Source: RNAcentral